This is a long non-coding RNA of Harpia harpyja (harpy eagle), 3721 nucleotides long. RefSeq lists it as uncharacterized. The transcript has 2 exons. The record is from RefSeq and is a predicted model, not a curated record. Lineage: Eukaryota; Metazoa; Chordata; Aves; Accipitriformes; Accipitridae.
GCGCGCCGCUUUGGGAGCGAGGCCGUGGCGCGGAGGACUCGCCUGGAGCUGUGCAGUUGGAGCGAGUCAGGUCCCACCCGCCAUGUCGGAGGGCGCGGAGAGGUCCGCGGGGGCCCACAGCUCCUCUGAGUCCUCCGCCCAGGGUUUCGCUGCUGCCGAGCCGCGGAUCAUCAAAAUCACGGUGAAGACUCCCAAGGAGAAGGAAGAGUUCGCUGUGCCCGAGACCAGCAGCGUCCAGCAGAGAAACAGUGGCACCUACUGAAUCAUUGACGCUAUUUCCUGCAGCACUUCAGUUUUUUGGAGGCCUUCCAUGUGAGUAUUUACCAGGACUUAAUUUGUUUAGAUUAGGAGGCUACAAAUCGUAGGAAAGGUGUGGUCAAAGCAUAAGGCAGAUAUCUAUAAAGCCAGUCUCUCCUACUUGUGAAGGAUGUAGAUAUUGCUAUGCUAAAAUACUUGAAAAGGUGAAAUUCCCUGAAGGAGAUUAAGAACUUACUUCAUUUUCUAUAAAACUUCUCUGAAAUUCAGUGUAUGCAACUUGACAUCAUGUUAUUUUUUUUGUACAGUAGGUAACUGCAAACCUCACAAAAAACCACAACGGUUAUAUAUGUAAGAGUGCAACUGAUGUAUAGAAAUGGAGCUUUAAAUCGUUACUUGCUGAUGAGUCAGAAGACACAUGUUGUUUUCAGAGGGGAAAUGCAAAAUGUGAGUUAAAAAGCUCUGAUCUUCUAGCCAGGGUGCUGGCUCUAUACAUUUUACAGACUCUUGCGCCACCUAGUUGUAAAAUUCUUUGUAGUUGCGUUUUGUUUUCUAUAAAACACGCUGGUUCUAAUUUAAGGAUCACAUUCGUCCUGAAAAGCAGUUUGAUUGCAAUAAUAUUGGGGACUUCAGGAAUUAUAAACAAACUCAUUUAAGAUGUAAAUUUGCGAUAUAUCUAACUUUAACAACAUGAUUUCAAAUGUGAGUCCCAAUGGGAAUAUCAGGUUUUUCUAGUAGACGGUUGUCUUAAAAACUGAAAUAGUUAUACAUGCUAACAAACCCAUAAAUUUUUACUGAAAACAAUCAUAAAAAUUUAAGUGAUUAAUAGAACAUAUUGCUUUAAAAUGUCUUAAUCUUCUAUAGAUAUCUUAAACUUUAAAUAUUGUCUUGGUAUCCCUUUGAGCUGAUAUUAACAGAUUAGAUUUGCAGUUGAAUCUUCCUGCGAAGUAAGACUGCUGCUGCCCCUGUGGGUCCGCCAUUUGCUUUGAUUCCUGGGCAAAGUUACAGCUGGCACAAAAAAAAAAAAAAAGCAAGACUGUAGUGUGACUAGUAUUGGCUGUUUUUCUUAAACUGUCAAAAUAAGUUGUUGUUAAUAAUAAGCAUUAUAUAGCAUAAUAACAAUAGACGUGAUACUUCUAGAGCCAGCCCUGAAAAUAGGUUAGCCUCAAAUAAACAAAUUGAGCAUCUGUUCAAAUGCAUAUGGGAUCAGCAAGUGGGUUGUUCUGUUGGUAUAGGCAAGCAGGCAAUGUCUGCCCUAUUUGCAGGGGGAGGCAGCCUAAACUCGUACAACUGAAUAGCUUUUAUUUUGCUGUGUGUUCCUGUAGCUAAUAUUAUGACUUAGUGAGACUUGGGUUUGUUUACAGUCACUUCAGAAUAGAGCCAAAACAAAACCCUAAGACUUUUAGAUAAAUAUUUUGGGUUAUUAGGGCUAAAUUUAGGGCUACGCAAAGUGUAUUUUAUGUUGCUCCGUUGAUGUAAGUCAGGUUUGCAACUGUUCAAAGUUGAGGAAGAUUUUCCUAUGUUAGAAGACUUCAGUAACAUAGGGUUUGUUAUUGCUGAUCCUAUGUUGUGCCUCUAAGAACAGGCAGUAGUAUGUAGGUUAAAAUGAAAAAUAACCCUCAAGUACCAAACUGCUCUGGGAGGUCAGUUGAUUGUAAGUGUCACCCAUCUGUCUUUAUUUUCCGCGGAACUUAUUUGAUUAUGCUGAGCACAGCUUGGCUCAGUAUUAGGACAAGGACCAAAUAUUUGCUUUGUUGAUUUGGUAUGAUACUGAACUUGCAGGCCCAUACACUGCUCUGCAAAGACUUCUAUUCAUGGUAGGUAAAGAUGAAUACCUAUAAGCCUGCUGAUUUGAAAUCCCAAUACGCAGGAGACUUUAGCUCAGUUAGCUCUGUCUUUCAUCUUUUUUCCUUAGUUUUAUUUUGUGGGUUCUGUGGGCUUGACUUUAACAGUGUGUUUUGGUAAAACUCAUAUACACAGAGAGAGUGAGCAGUCAUGUUACAGACUACUCGUGCAUUACUGUCUCUUCUUAGUGAAUGACUUGAAUUAUUUGAGUGAUGAGGUGUUGGAACUGGUUCCAUUAAAAGCAAUUUUACUUUCUUCAUUUAGUCUGUUUACCCUGUAGGCAUUCUUGGAAUGCCAACAUAGCAACAUUGGCAAAGUUCAAGAUGUUAUUGUAAUUGAUUCAGAGUUACUAUCCACCAGCACAUAUGCAGACUUUAAGAUAUCAAAUUAUGCACUUUGUGAACACUGUAACUCUUAGAGAAUAACAUAGGUUGCUUUAUAUUUUUAAUUAUUAGGCUAACAGAGUUUGGAUACAACAAAUGUGCGCUAUUAAUUUUAAAAGCCUGCAGUUCUUGCAGAGAAUUAUUGUCAGUCCUAUGAUUAUCUGAAAAUUUCAGGGUAAUGUCUGUUUGGAAAAGUUAGUGAAAUCGAGUUUAGUUCAUAUAACCAUAGAAAACAGUUUAAAUUAUUUUUUUUCUCUUUUUAUUUAACGUCAACCUUUCUUCAGUGAGGAAUAUAGUUUUCAGUAGUAAUAGAUUAUUAUUAUCAGUGUGUAGUAUAUUUUUAAACUAAUUAUAUACCUGAAAAUUGUGCUUUCUGUACUACACUGAAUUAUAAAUAAACUCACCUACUGAACUAUAUGUGUAAAUGUAUACAUUGCGUUGGGACUCUGUUCAUUGACAAGUGGAGAUCUGGUUAGAAUUGUAUUCUCUGUUUAAAAUUUGAAUAAAUAUUAUUGUUGAAACUUUAAAUCCAUAAAUCCAGUGUUUCAGAUUUGUGCCUGGUUUUCACAAUCACAAAUUGGCCAUGUUUGGCAUAUAAAGAUCACGUGUACAUGUUAAGGGGAGCAUUGGGUGAUUUGAUAGUGGAACAUCUUUCCUAACUUCUGUAUGCUUUUAAUAUUUCUUAUAAUGCUUUAUUUUAUAAGGGCAGCUUAAUUUCAGUUCUCUUAACAUAACCAGUUCUGUCUUCCCUGUAGCCUGGGGAUUAUUGAACAGUACGACCAAAAGAGGUUGGAACUAAUAUAGUCCAAUCUGUUCUUCUUUUUCAGUAUUACAAUCUAGCUUUCUGUCGGCACUAAAGGAACUUGAGUGCGUGAAUUGUUUAGCACCAAAGUUAAAGCAUUGCUUUUUUCACCAUCUUAUGUCUCAGUGCACUGAAGCACAUCAUUGAUACAUCUGUGUGACUGUUUAUGGAGUCAGCCUUGUGAUAUAGUCUGAUUAUUCACGUUUCUUUGAAAUAAAGAAACCCUGUUUGAUUCAGCACUUAAGUAAUUUUAUUUUUCUCAGACUUUGGAGAAAAGUGAUUUAGAACAAUGGUAAUUUGCUGUUUGAUAGCAUAGAACCCUUUAGAAGAAAGUAUAUUGACUUCCCUGACAGUUGACUUAACUGAUAUUUUUCAAGAUGCAUCUGCCUAACCAAGGUAACUGGCAAAUGUUUUCUGACUGGCGGGUAUAAUAAAA